GCGGGAGGAAAAAGGAAAACACAAGAAGAAAGAUUUGCGUAAUCGCUAUUAUAUUUCAGUUUUUCUUCAAGAAACCUUGAGCCAUCUUCAAGUAUUCACCAUACCCACCUUCAGAAUGGCUUCAGAAUGGCCAGCAGCACCGCUUGAAUGGGAUGACGAAUGUGUGGCAUCAGCUGCUGAGUGGGAAGAAGUGGGGGAAUGGGAGGAGUGGUACUGGUGGAGAUGAUUCUCAGCCAUCUCUACAUACUUGCCAAAACUCUUCCCUUCGAGCUUGCCAUAGUAAGAGGCAGCUCCAAGAAGAUCAGCUGCAGCACCAGCAACCCUGCCCUUGUCUACCUUGUCAGUUUCGUGCUUAAGUGAAGCUUUGGCUGCCUCAGCCACCAACAUGGCACUGGAAAGAAGCUCAGAGGAAGAU
Molecule: unclassified non-coding RNA, 415 nt
Filed under: Hevea brasiliensis (rubber tree)
Lineage: Eukaryota; Viridiplantae; Streptophyta; Magnoliopsida; Malpighiales; Euphorbiaceae
Source: RNAcentral